This 21-nucleotide non-coding RNA is filed under the name Caenorhabditis elegans. Lineage: Eukaryota; Metazoa; Nematoda; Chromadorea; Rhabditida; Rhabditidae. The record is from RNAcentral.
UCUUUGUUGAGCAUUUCGGCC